RNAcentral lists this long non-coding RNA (859 nucleotides) under Elaeis guineensis (African oil palm). RNAcentral's name for it is "long non-coding RNA (EGUI_LNC013840)". Lineage: Eukaryota; Viridiplantae; Streptophyta; Magnoliopsida; Arecales; Arecaceae. The record is from RNAcentral.
GGACGGUCGAAGGUCCGACAGUGACAGUCGAUGGCAGUGGGACAAGAGACAGCCGGCGGCAAGGAUCGUCUGGUGAGAAUUUAGAAGAAUUUGAAAAAAUAGGGGACCGCCUCUCUUUCCUUGAAUUUCUCCGGUCAUUGGCCGAUCAUCGGUGGCCAUGACCUUCGGAGAAGAUAGGUAGAGAGGUCGAGAUCCAAACCUAGAGGUGAGAUGCUGCAAACAACGAUAUCGGUGGUUGGAAAAGAGAAGGAGAUGGCUCGACCAAAUAGAGAAAAAUAGAGUCUUACCUUUUUAUGGAUUUUCCGACGAACCCGACGGCCAGCGAGGAUGUGCCAUGCCAUAGAAAGGAGGGGAAGAAAGAGAGAAAGGAGGGUCGGGGCUUAUCUCCGACUUCGGUGAGAUCUCCGAUGAGAAUUUGAGGCAAACACGAAGAGAGUGUCGGUGGCUUCAACAGAAAAAUCUGAGAGAGAAUGGAGAGAAAUCGGUGCUCGUCAUGGCCGGCUAUAAAGGAGGAAGGAGAGGUUUUAUAGAGCUCUUCCUAGGAUUCCUAGUUGCCUUAAGAGUCCUUAAUCUAGUCAGGCAAGGGGAGGAAGAAGAAGACUCCCGUUGGGAGUCUUCGUUCAAUUUUUUUUUCCUGUGGGCUUAAUGGGCCAUAAUUGGGUGGACUUGAUUUUUAAAACAGGAUAUUACAUUCUACCCCUCUUAAAAAAAAUUUCAUCCUCAAAACUUGACAUAUUUGAGGUUUCGAACAUUAAAAUACAUAAUCCUCAUAUUGUCCUUAAGUUUUUAAAUUAUUUACAUUUUAAAGUACUUAUUCCAUGAGUUUUUAACAUGAAUAAUUAUACGGUAUUUCGAAACA